AUAGGCGAAAGCCUGACAGGGUUACUCUGAGUGAUGCCCGCUAAGGGUAUCUUUUGGCACCUCUAAAAAUGGUGCAGAAUAAGGGGUGGGCAAGUCUGGUGUCAGCCGCCGCGGUAAUACCAGCACCCCGAGUUGUCGGGACGAUUAUUGGGCCUAAAGCAUCCGUAGCCUGUUCUGCAAGUCCUCCGUUAAAUCCACCUGCUCAACGGAUGGGCUGCGGAGGAUACCGCAGAGCUAGGAGGCGGGAGAGGCAAACGGUACUCAGUGGGUAGGGGUAAAAUCCAUUGAUCUACUGAAGACCACCAGUGGCGAAGGCGGUUUGCCAGAACGCGCUCGACGGUGAGGGAUGAAAGCUGGGGGAGCAAACCGGAUUAGAUACCCCCGUAGUCC
RNAcentral lists this ribosomal RNA (390 nucleotides) under uncultured archaeon. Its description in RNAcentral is "bacterial SSU rRNA". It matches the Rfam family "Archaeal small subunit ribosomal RNA", at positions 355 to 747 of the family's 1478-position model. The record is from RNAcentral.